ACUUACAGAAGCAUCUAGUUACCCACUCUGGAAUUAAACCCUACAGCUGUGACAUUUGUGGAAAAACUUUCAGUCAGAUAGGGAACCGAAAUACACACCUACGCAUUCACACCAGACAUGAUGUGUUCAUCUGUUGUCAGUGUGGUAAACUAUGUUCAACAGACGCACAGUUACAACGCCACAUGCUUACCCACUCUGAGGAACGACCUUAUAAAUGUGACCUGUGUGAGAAGACUUUUAAAACUACAUAUUACCUGAAAGAUCACCAACAGAUCCACACCAGAAAGAGUCCCUACAAGUGCAGUUACUGUGAGAAGCAGAGCGACACAGAUGGAUCCAGUUCUCAACCCUGUCAUCACUGUGGUGGUGGGAAACACUUUCGUUGUGACCUUUGUGGGAAAAGUUUCAGUCAUCAAAUCACCCUAAAAAGACAUAAACGUAGACACACUGGAGACAAAAUGAACUACUGCAAAGAAUGUGGGAGAAGCUUCCCCACAACACGUGAGUUAAAACAACAUGAACUCAUUCACAGUGGGGUUAAAAACCACCUCUGUGAUCAGUGUGGGUCAUCUUUCAUUACUGCAAGUCACCUUAAAACACACAAACGAGUCCACACAGGAGAGAAACCAUACAAGUGCAGACACUGUGACAAAAGCUUCUCACAUUCAGGUAGUCGUAACCUUCAUGAACGUACACACAUGGAAGGAAACUACAGCUGUGACCAGUGUGACAAGAGCUUCAGGAAUUUCACUUCAUACUCCAGACACAAACGAUCCCACGUUACUAAUAAACUCUUUCACUGUUACCAAUGUACCAAAAUAUUCACCUCAUUAUCUGCUCUGUGCAAACAUCAGCGUGAUCAUGCAGGACUGAAAUCACUCCCAUCUCUGUGAAUCUGCAGAGACAGAAAGAUCUUCUUCUGGUUUCAGGGUCAGACUCAACGCCCUUGAGAUCAGGCUCCACAGAGUUCAGCUGGAAUCUCCUGUAAAGAUGUGAUGAGGCAGCUAUGAAUGAAAAUGUGCCUCUCGUUACAUUUUAAGCUUUCUAAACUGUUGUACUGUAGUGUUGGUGUUGAGUGGUUAGCUUUGUUCCAGCAGUUGAAUCAAAAAAUCUGUUUCCUCUUAUUAUGUUUUUAUUGAAUGUAUUUUGAUCCAUGUGUUCUGCAGAUGUUUUUUGGUUUUGUUUUUUUGUUCAGGUUGUUUGUGUUAUGAAAUCCUUCAACAGUUAAACCAAAAUUUGAAAUGUUAAAUAAAGAAAUCGUUUAAUGACAAAGA
Oreochromis niloticus (Nile tilapia) is the source of this 1274-nucleotide long non-coding RNA. RefSeq lists it as uncharacterized. The transcript is spliced from 2 exons. Lineage: Eukaryota; Metazoa; Chordata; Actinopteri; Cichliformes; Cichlidae. The record is from RefSeq and is a predicted model, not a curated record.